UACAUUUUGGUGUAUGGUGCACAAAAAUUUUUGAUUUUUUAGGUAAUAGUUUAAUUCUAUUGAGUGUAA
This 69-nucleotide transfer RNA is filed under the name Deropeltis paulinoi. Its description in RNAcentral is "tRNA-Gln". Lineage: Eukaryota; Metazoa; Arthropoda; Insecta; Blattodea; Blattidae. The record is from RNAcentral.